GAUGAACGCUAGCGGCAGGCUUAACACAUGCAAGUCGAGGGGCAGCAUAAAUAGUAGCAAUACUAUUGGUGGCGACCGGCGGACGUGUGCAUAACGCGUAUACAACCUUCCCUAAACGGGGGGAUAAUCUGGAGAAAUUCGGUCUAAUACCCCAUAACAUCAGAGCAGGCAUCUGUUUUGGUUAAAAUUUCCGGAGUUUUAGGAUGGGUAUGCGUAGCAUUAGCUAGUUGGUGAGGUAACGGCCCACCAAGGCGACGAUGCUUAGGGGGACUGAGAGGUUAACCCCCCACACUGGUACUGAGACACGGACCAGACUCCUACGGGAGGCAGCAGUGAGGAAUAUUGGUCAAUGGGCGGAAGCCUGAACCAGCCAUGCCGCGUGCAGGAUGACGGCUCUAUGAGUUGUAAACUGCUUUUGUACGAGGGUAAAGUGGGCUACGUGUAGCCUUUUGAAAGUAUCGUACGAAUAAGGAUCGGCUAACUCCGUGCCAGCCGCCGCGGUAA
Molecule: ribosomal RNA, 504 nt
Filed under: uncultured bacterium
Lineage: Bacteria
Description: partial 16S ribosomal RNA
Rfam family: Bacterial small subunit ribosomal RNA
Source: RNAcentral